UUCGAUGACUGAGAUGUGUUUUGAUGGACUUCUUCGGCUCAUACUUUGUUAUCGGAUGGUUGUUAGGGGUCUACAUGCAAAACGAUGAUUGGUGAGAUGUGAGAUUUGGUUGUUGGGGAUGAUGACGGUGACGGCGAAAUUCGGUUGGGCUUGAAGAAACCCAGAAAAAAAGAGAGAUGGAAGAAGAGAUGGAGAGGUGGUGGUGACGUUAUGGUGGUCGUUUUGGUGGUGACGACUGACGAUGAUGGUAGUAGUGGUGGUGAUGACGUAGUUGUGGUGGUGACAAAUGACAAUUUUAUAUAGUGGGGUUAAAAUUGUUAAUAAUACAUGUAAUAUACACAAUAUCAUAGUUCUAUGGUUAGAAUAGUUAGAUAGUGAAUUAAAGUUUUUUUUUUGGUUAUACAGCCAAAUUUCCCUUUUUUAUUUCUUGUUCUUGUAAAAGUUCAAACAUUAAUUUUCGUGUUGUUCACGUUUAUGGUUGGAACAUCCUAAACUAGGUUCUUCUAAAGAUAAUCCAAGGAGGCGACAUUUUACCUAA
Long non-coding RNA from Arabidopsis lyrata subsp. lyrata, 538 nucleotides. RefSeq lists it as uncharacterized. The transcript has 2 exons. The record is from RefSeq and is a predicted model, not a curated record. NCBI's taxonomy places the organism in Eukaryota, Viridiplantae, Streptophyta, Magnoliopsida, Brassicales, Brassicaceae.